This 261-nucleotide ribosomal RNA is filed under the name uncultured bacterium. Its description in RNAcentral is "partial 16S ribosomal RNA". It matches the Rfam family "Bacterial small subunit ribosomal RNA", at positions 524 to 776 of the family's 1533-position model. The record is from RNAcentral.
UACGUAGGGUGGCAAGCGUUAAUCGGAAUUACUGGGCGUAAAGCGUGCGCAGGCGGUUUGUAAUGUCGUCUUGUUGAAAUCCCCGGGACCGUUAACCUGGGAAGUGGACAUGGAGAACUGCAAGGCUAGAGUUUGGCAGAGGGGGGUAGAAUUCCACGUGUAGCAGUGAAAUGCGUAGAGAUGUGGAGGAACACCGAUGGCGAAGGCAGCCCCCUGGGUCAAGACUGACGCUCAUGCACGAAAGCGUGGGGAGCAAACAGG